UACGUAGGCAGCGAGCGUUGUUCGGAGUUACUGGGCGUAAAGGGUGUGUAGGCGGUUGUUUAAGUUUGGUGUGAAAUCUCCCGGCUCAACUGGGAGGGUGCGCCGAAUACUGAAUGACUAGAGUGCGGGAGAGGAUAGUGGAAUUCCUGGUGUAGCGGUGAAAUGCGUAGAUAUCAGGAGGAACACCAAUAGCGAAGGCAGCUCGCUGGGACGUUACUGACACUGAGGCGCGAAAGCGUGGUGAGCGAACAGG
RNAcentral lists this ribosomal RNA (253 nucleotides) under uncultured bacterium. Its description in RNAcentral is "partial 16S ribosomal RNA". It matches the Rfam family "Bacterial small subunit ribosomal RNA", at positions 524 to 776 of the family's 1533-position model. The record is from RNAcentral.